AUCUCUGACUUCAGACUAGACGAUAUGCUAGAUUCAGAAUCAGACUUCGUCAAGUACAAAAGAGGUCCCUCUGAAAAGAAGUCUUCAAAAGCAAAGAAAGCAAGGCUAGGAGAAACAUCUGAAUCAAGACCUUCAGCGCCUCUGCAAGAAACUUCUGGUAUGUCUGCCCCUACUAUUCCCUCUGAACCUCCUUUGGUUUCCUCUAUUCCUCUCCCAACACCUAUCUACACCUCCUCUGAAACCCCACCUUCUA
This 253-nucleotide long non-coding RNA is filed under the name Lathyrus oleraceus (garden pea). RNAcentral describes it as "Pisum sativum (pea) long non-coding RNA (PSAT_LNC031914)". The record is from RNAcentral. Lineage: Eukaryota; Viridiplantae; Streptophyta; Magnoliopsida; Fabales; Fabaceae.